UUGUGAUGUAUAUUCAAAAUCUUGUGAUGUAUGUUCGAAAUCUUGUGAUGUAUAUUCAAAAUCUUGUGAUGUAUAUUCGAAAUCUUGUGAUGUAUAUUCUAUAAUCUUGUGAUGUAUAUUCUAUAAUCUUGUGAUGUAUAUUCAAUAUCUUGUGAUGUAUAUUCGAAAUCUUGUGAUGUAUAUUCUAUAAUCUUGUGAUAUAUGUUCAAAAUCUUGUGAUUUAUAUUCAAUAUCUUGUGAUGUAUAUUCGAAAUCUUGUGAUGUAUGUUCAAUAAUCUUGUGAUGUUUGUUUGAUAAUCUUGUGAUGCAUAUUCGAAAUCUUGUGAUGUGUGUUCUACAAUUCAGUGAUGCGUGCAAUAUGACGCAACAGUUUUAUUAGAAAGUAAGGACAAUUUUCAUUGGUUAGAAAUAACGAAAGUAGCUGGAGCGAUUGGGAAAACUAUGCAGCUGGUGAGAAAAAAAAACAGUCAGUCAGUUUGUUUAUUACAGCACUAAUCACGAGAUGCACGAAUGUUGACCCUUGUGACAUAAUGGAGAUAUUUCGGCCUGCUAGGGAAAAUACUCAGUAAACGUAGAAAUAUUGACAAAAUUUGUAGACGAGCUGAUCGCCAACCAGGAGAUCAAAAUGAUAGCAUCUGCUCCUGCCACUUAAAGGGUGGUAAGAAGGAGGGGGACCCUGCAUAUUUUGCACGGAAUGAAGGAAAGGCCAUGGAUUUCUCUGAUCCUGAAUGUACAAAAAGGAGGAAAAAACUCAAAAGUGAGGAGUCCCUGUCAUCUUCACAGAUGGACCAGUUGCAGAUUCCACAAGCACCAAAAUGUCAAGAUCAAGAAAAAUUGAUAUCGGAGCACAACUACUCAGCAUCCGGCACAUUUAACUGUACUUAAGAAAUGCAGCGCCUCUCAACAGAAAUACAACAACUGGAAAAGGAAUUGCUUGCCCUAAAAAUAGAGUCUAGUUAAAGGAAGCCAAUGUCAAUUCACGAUAUUAAAGACAACAAAGAGAAGAUGCUUUUGUAUACAUCCCUACAGUAUGACAUAUUUGAAAUAUUAAGUCAGAUUGUUAUAACGAUUUGAACUCGAUUAUUAUAAUGGCUGGACUCCAAUGAAACCAGAGGACCAACUGCUCAUUGUACUAGUGAAGUUAAAACUCAAUCUGCGGGACAUUGACUUGGCUCAUAGAUUCUGUGUCAGUCGACCAACAGUUUUGAACAUCUUUCAUACCCUUGUUCAUGCACUACACAAGAUGCUGUCUGAUGGCGUAGUCAAUGAAUGUGUUCCAAGUCAGCUAAAAUGCAAAGGUUUGUUUUAAAAUUUAUCAUAAUGACUUGCAAAAAUUUUAUGCAGUUACAUUUAUUGUAUUCUUGAAAGUUUGACUGUA
Long non-coding RNA from Saccostrea cuccullata (small rock oyster), 1378 nucleotides. RefSeq lists it as uncharacterized. The record is from RefSeq and is a predicted model, not a curated record. Lineage: Eukaryota; Metazoa; Mollusca; Bivalvia; Ostreida; Ostreidae. The transcript is spliced from 5 exons.